AUUGAACGCUGGCGGCAUGCUUUACACAUGCAAGUCGAACGGCAGCGCGGGCUUCGGCCUGGCGGCGAGUGGCGAACGGGUGAGUAAUGCAUCGGAACGUGCCCAGCAGUGGGGGAUAGCCCGGCGAAAGCCGGAUUAAUACCGCAUACGACCUGAGGGUGAAAGCGGGGGACCGAAAGGCCUCGCGCUAUUGGAGGGGCCGAUGUCGGAUUAGCUAGUUGGUGGGGUAAAGGCUUACCAAGGCGACGAUCCGUAGCUGGUCUGAGAGGACGACCAGCCACACUGGGACUGAGACACGGCCCAGACUCCUACGGGAGGCAGCAGUGGGGAAUUUUGGACAAUGGGGGCAACCCUGAUCCAGCCAUGCCGCGUGCGGGAAGAAGGCCUUCGGGUUGUAAACCGCUUUUGUUCGGGAAGAAAUCCUCUGGGCUAAUACCCCGGGGGGAUGACGGUACCGGAAGAAUAAGCACCGGCUAACUACGUG
RNAcentral lists this ribosomal RNA (484 nucleotides) under uncultured bacterium. Its description in RNAcentral is "partial 16S ribosomal RNA". It matches the Rfam family "Bacterial small subunit ribosomal RNA", at positions 28 to 507 of the family's 1533-position model. The record is from RNAcentral.